This 773-nucleotide ribosomal RNA is filed under the name Streptococcus anginosus. RNAcentral describes it as "bacterial SSU rRNA". It matches the Rfam family "Bacterial small subunit ribosomal RNA", at positions 28 to 776 of the family's 1533-position model. Lineage: Bacteria; Bacillati; Bacillota; Bacilli; Lactobacillales; Streptococcaceae. The record is from RNAcentral.
GACGAACGCUGGCGGCGUGCCUAAUACAUGCAAGUAGGACGCACAGUUUAUACCGUAGCUUGCUACACCAUAGACUGUGAGUUGCGAACGGGUGAGUAACGCGUAGGUAACCUGCCUAUUAGAGGGGGAUAACUAUUGGAAACGAUAGCUAAUACCGCAUAACAGUAUGUAACACAUGUUAGAUGCUUGAAAGAUGCAAUUGCAUCGCUAGUAGAUGGACCUGCGUUGUAUUAGCUAGUAGGUAGGGUAAUGGCCUACCUAGACGACGAUACAUAGCCGACCUGAGAGGGUGAUCGGCCACACUGGGACUGAGACACGGCCCAGACUCCUACGGGAGGCAGCAGUAGGGAAUCUUCGGCAAUGGGGGGAACCCUGACCGAGCAACGCCGCGUGAGUGAAGAAGGUUUUCGGAUCGUAAAGCUCUGUUGUUAAGGAAGAACGAGUGUGAAAAUGGAAAGUUCAUACUGUGACGGUACUUAACCAGAAAGGGACGGCUAACUACGUGCCAGCAGCCGCGGUAAUACGUAGGUCCCGAGCGUUGUCCGGAUUUAUUGGGCGUAAAGCGAGCGCAGGCGGUUAGAAAAGUCUGAAGUGAAAGGCAGUGGCUCAACCAUUGUAGGCUUUGGAAACUGUUUAACUUGAGUGCAGAAGGGGAGAGUGGAAUUCCAUGUGUAGCGGUGAAAUGCGUAGAUAUAUGGAGGAACACCGGUGGCGAAAGCGGCUCUCUGGUCUGUAACUGACGCUGAGGCUCGAAAGCGUGGGGAGCGAACAGG